UGAAGGAAGUCGAACAGGGACCUUGCAUCGACCGCUACUUCUUGCGAAGGAAGUCGAAUCAGUCAAGAGGAAGAGGAGCCAAGCACUGCAGAGCCCCUUGAGCCCAGCCUACCUCAGCUUGCAACUGAAACAAAAAUCCUGGGGCGAAAGCCACCAAUUAAGUGGCCCAAAUCCUGUGAGAAAAAGGUAUGGGAUUCUGUCAACACAGACAUCAGCAAACUCCUUGAACAACUGAGGGGAACUGCUUUUAAGAAGCUGGAGAAGAUGGGAGAGCUGAUUUACAAAUAUGGUGCUGAGCGCUUUGGAUUCACAGAGGAAAGGAAGAAAUCAUCAACCAUCCCAACAAAGUCCAGGAGACAGCAGGAGAUAGACAGACUGGUCAAGGAGAGAAGACUAUUGAAGCAGCAGUGGAGAAAAGCUCUAGAGGAGGAGAAGGAGGGAAUAAACCUGCUGCAGGCAGAAAACACGAGCAGACUGUCAACCUUGAGGAGAGCUGAGAAUCUCAGAAGGAGGCGUAAGAGUAAGGAGCAUGCAAGAUCGAGCUUCUUCAAAGACCCCUUCAAGUUUGUAAAGAGUCUUUUCACGAAAGAGAAAAGCGGCAAACUUAAAACAUCAAGGAAAGAUCUCGAAGCUCAUCUGAAAAGAACCCACACUGACAGCCAUCGGGGCAAACAGCGCACCCUUCCAUCGGAUAUGCCACCAAUACACCCUCCAGAACACCAGCUAGACGUUGACCCUCCCAAGUGGAGUGAAGUGGAAAGAACUGUACGUCGAGGAAGAGCGGCAUCCUCCCCUGGGCCCAACGGAGUCCCUUAUAGGCUUUAUAAAAACGCACCAGAGGUUCUACGCUUUCUUUGGAGACUGAUGAAGGUGGUGUGGCAGAAACAUAUGAUACCAACUGCCUGGCGAAGAGCAGGAGGCAUCCUAAUCCCUAAGGAGAAGGACGCUGAGGACAUCAGCCAGUUUCGCCACAUCAGCCUCUUAAACGUUGAAGGCAAGAUCUUUUUCAGCGUUUUACAGGCUGGCUGUCUACCUAGAGAGAAACAAGUACAUCGACACAACAGUGCAGAAAGCAGGGAUUCCAGGCUUCUCGGGUUGCUUGGAG
RNAcentral lists this long non-coding RNA (1105 nucleotides) under Sparus aurata (gilthead seabream). RNAcentral describes it as "lncRNA (ENSSAUG00010007379.1)". The record is from RNAcentral. Lineage: Eukaryota; Metazoa; Chordata; Actinopteri; Spariformes; Sparidae.